GCACUGCUGAAGAGUCCCAAACAGAACGAAGCAGCUGUCCAGUGC
RNAcentral lists this non-coding RNA (45 nucleotides) under Echinostoma caproni. Lineage: Eukaryota; Metazoa; Platyhelminthes; Trematoda; Plagiorchiida; Echinostomatidae. The record is from RNAcentral.